Molecule: small RNA, 457 nt
Filed under: Pan troglodytes (chimpanzee)
Lineage: Eukaryota; Metazoa; Chordata; Mammalia; Primates; Hominidae
Description: processed transcript
Source: RNAcentral
GUAAGUCAUUGCCCUUUCUGAUAGUUCUGACGUUCAGUUGGAAAUCUCUGUUGGGAUCAGAAGAAAUGUCAACUGGGAAGAGAAGGGGACGCUAUGAUGGAAGACGUUGGACAGAAUCCACUGGAUGAUGUGUAAGUAUGGGAAUAAUAAAAGAGUUCAGUAGAGGAAGCUCCACGGGAAAAGUCUCCAGCAAUCCAGUACCAGACAAUAGAAUUACCAGCAUUAGAAGCCGUAAAACAGAACCUUGACUGCCUGAAUUCAGACCUUGAAAAGGACCUGCAGAAACUGGAUAUGGAGAAUCAGGUUCUCCUUAGAAAGAUUAAAGAGAAAGAAGAAACUAUUUCAAGCCUGGAAAGAAAGCUGGCCUUGUCACUAGAAGAAGCCAAAGAGGAGGAGGAGUUGAACUAUAUCAUAGAUGAACAGGAGGAAUCCCUGAGGGAGCUGGAAUUAGAGACAG